CCUACGGGUGGCAGCAGUGAGGAAUAUUGGUCAAUGGACGCAAGUCUGAACCAGCCAUGCCGCGUGCAGGAAGACGGCUCUAUGAGUUGUAAACUGCUUUUGUACGAGGGUAAACGCAGAUACGCGUAUCUGUCUGCAAGUAUCGUACGAAUAAGGAUCGGCUAACUCCGUGCCAGCAGCCGCGGUAAUACGGAGGAUUCAAGCGUUAUCCGGAUUUAUUGGGUUUAAAGGGUGCGUAGGCGGUCGGGUAAGUUAGAGGUGAAAUCCCGGGGCUCAACUUCGGAAUUGCCUCUGAUACUGUUCGGCUAGAGAGUAGGUGAGGUAGGCGGAAUGUAUGGUGUAGCGGUGAAAUGCUUAGAGAUCAUGAAGAACACCGAUUGCGAAGGCAGCUUACCAAGCUACUUCUGACGUUGAGGCACGAAAGCGUGGGGAGCAAACAGGAUUAGAUACCCGAGUAGUC
Molecule: ribosomal RNA, 460 nt
Filed under: uncultured bacterium
Lineage: Bacteria
Description: partial 16S ribosomal RNA
Rfam family: Bacterial small subunit ribosomal RNA
Source: RNAcentral